UGGGGAAUAUUGCACAAUGGGCGCAAGCCUGAUGCAGCCAUGCCGCGUGUAUGAAGAAGGCCUUCGGGUUGUAAAGUACUUUCAGCGGGGAGGAAGGGAGUAAAGUUAAUACCUUUGCUCAUUGACGUUACCCGCAGAAGAAGCACCGGCUAACUCCGUGCCAGCAGCCGCGGUAAUACGGAGGGUGCAAGCGUUAAUCGGAAUUACUGGGCGUAAAGCGCACGCAGGCGGUCUGUCAAGUCGGAUGUGAAAUCCCCGGGCUCAACCUGGGAACUGCAUUCGAAACUGGCAGGCUAGAGGCUUGUAGAGGGGGGUAGAAUUCCAGGUGUAGCGGUGAAAUGCGUAGAGAUCUGGAGGAAUACCGGUGGCGAAGGCGGCCCCCUGGACAAAGACUGACGCUCAGGUGCGAAAGCGUGGGGAGCAAACAGG
This 429-nucleotide ribosomal RNA is filed under the name Chloroflexota bacterium. Its description in RNAcentral is "Chloroflexi bacterium partial 16S ribosomal RNA". It matches the Rfam family "Bacterial small subunit ribosomal RNA", at positions 355 to 776 of the family's 1533-position model. The record is from RNAcentral. Lineage: Bacteria; Bacillati; Chloroflexota.